ACGCACGCUGGCGGCGUGCUUAACACAUGCAAGUCGAACGGAAAGGCCCUGCUUGCAGGGUACUCGAGUGGCGAACGGGUGAGUAACACGUGGGUGAUCUGCCCUGCACUUCGGGAUAAGCUUGGGAAACUGGGUCUAAUACCGGAUAGGAACCAUCUUUAGUGUGGUGGUUGGAAAGUUUUUUCGGUGUAGGAUGAGCUCGCGGCCUAUCAGCUUGUUGGUGGGGUAAUGGCCUACCAAGGCGGCGACGGGUAGCCGGCCCGAGAGGGUGUACGGCCACAUUGGGACUGAGAUACGGCCCAGACUCCUACGGGAGGCAGCAGUGGGGAAUAUUGCACAAUGGGCGCAAGCCUGAUGCAGCGACGCCGCGUGGGGGAUGAAGGCCUUCGGGUUGUAAACUCCUUUCGCUAGGGACGAAGCUUUGUUGUGACGGUACCUAGAUAAGAAGCACCGGCUAACUACGUG
Molecule: ribosomal RNA, 465 nt
Filed under: uncultured bacterium
Lineage: Bacteria
Description: partial 16S ribosomal RNA
Rfam family: Bacterial small subunit ribosomal RNA
Source: RNAcentral